This is a long non-coding RNA of Ipomoea nil (Japanese morning glory), 310 nucleotides long. RefSeq lists it as uncharacterized. The transcript has 2 exons. The record is from RefSeq and is a predicted model, not a curated record. NCBI's taxonomy places the organism in Eukaryota, Viridiplantae, Streptophyta, Magnoliopsida, Solanales, Convolvulaceae.
GAAAUAUCGACCAAGUUACUUCUAAAAUAACUGUCGGUCCUCUAUAACACAGUACAGGGGAACUUGAACUGGAUGCAAUCUAGAGAGACCUAUUUGAAGUCUCCUGUUUGGCGUGGACGCGAAAAUGACAUUCGUCCUUUUGGGAACUCAAAAGCAUCUGACUCUGCUAAUCUUGACAGUGUAGCAGAAGUACAACCCCUAUUAUCUCAACUUUGAGCAUUUAUUUGCUUGUUGCUGGAAAUUUUCACAUUGUUGUAUAGAAUGCUGAUUAAAAGGGGAACAUGAUAAAAAUCAUAUAUGAAUCUUCUUA